This 605-nucleotide ribosomal RNA is filed under the name Ceratobasidiaceae sp. Its description in RNAcentral is "partial large subunit ribosomal RNA". It matches the Rfam family "Eukaryotic large subunit ribosomal RNA", at positions 1 to 604 of the family's 3401-position model. Lineage: Eukaryota; Fungi; Basidiomycota; Agaricomycetes; Cantharellales; Ceratobasidiaceae. The record is from RNAcentral.
AUCUGAUCUCAAAUCAGGUAGGACUACCCGCUGAACUUAAGCAUAUCAAUAAGCGGAGGAAAAGAAACUAACAAGGAUUCCCCUAGUAACGGCGAGUGAAGCGGGAAGAGCUCAAAUUUAAAAUCUGGCGGUGUAUUCCGUCCGAGUUGUAGUCUAGAGAAGCAUCAUCCGCGCUGGACCAUGUACAAGUCUCUUGGAAUAGAGCGUCAUAGAGGGUGAGAAUCCCGUCCUUGACAUGGACUCCCAGUGCUUUGUGUUGUGCUCUCAACGAGUCGAGUUGUUUGGGAAUGCAGCUCAAAAUGGGUGGUAAAUUCCAUCUAAAGCUAAAUAUUGGCGAGAGACCGAUAGCGAACAAGUACCGUGAGGGAAAGAUGAAAAGCACUUUGGAGAGAGAGUUAAACAGUACGUGAAAUUGUUGAAAUGGAAACGCUUGAAGUCAGUCGCGUUCUCUGGGAUUCAGCCUUGCUUCUGCUUGGUGCAUUUCCUAGUCUACGGGCCAGCAUGAAUUUUGACCGUUGGAAAAAGGCAGGGGGAAUGUGGCACCUCCGGGUGUGUGAGAGCCCCUUGUCACACACUGCGGUUGGGAUUGAGGAUUCAGUGCACGC